UAGGGAAUCUUCGGCAAUGGGGGCAACCCUGACCGAGCAACGCCGCGUGAGUGAAGAAGGUUUUCGGAUCGUAAAGCUCUGUUGUAAGAGAAGAACGUGUGUGAGAGUGGAAAGUUCACACAGUGACGGUAACUUACCAGAAAGGGACGGCUAACUACGUGCCAGCAGCCGCGGUAAUACGUAGGUCCCGAGCGUUGUCCGGAUGUAUUGGGCGUAAAGCGAGCGCAGGCGGUUUAAUAAGUCUGAAGUUAAAGGCAGUGGCUUAACCAUUGUUCGCUUUGGAAACUGGUAAACAUGAGUGCAGAAGGGGAGAGUGGAAUUCCAUGUGUAGCGGUGAAAUGCGUAGAUAUAUGGAGGAACGCCGGUGGCGAAAGCGGCUCUCUGGUCUGUAACUGACGCUGAGGCUCGAAAGCGUGGGGAGCAAACAGG
Molecule: ribosomal RNA, 429 nt
Filed under: bacterium
Lineage: Bacteria
Description: partial 16S ribosomal RNA
Rfam family: Bacterial small subunit ribosomal RNA
Source: RNAcentral